GGGCGGUUAGCUCACUUGGUAGAGCGCCUCGUUGACGUCGAGGAGGUAACAAGUUCGAUCCUUGUACCGCCCA
This 73-nucleotide transfer RNA is filed under the name bacterium. RNAcentral's name for it is "tRNA-Val". It matches the Rfam family "tRNA". From Rfam's summary of the family: Transfer RNA (tRNA) molecules are approximately 80 nucleotides in length. Their secondary structure includes four short double-helical elements and three loops (D, anti-codon, and T loops). The record is from RNAcentral.